AGAUGGGCUCGCGUCUGAUUAGAUAGUUGGUGAGGUAACGGCUCACCAAGUCGACGAUCAGUAGCCGGACUGAGAGGUUGAACGGCCACAUUGGGGCUGAGACACGGCCCAGACUCCUACGGGAGGCAGCAGUGGGGAAUAUUGCACAAUGGGGGAAACCCUGAUGCAGCGAUGCCGCGUGGAGGAAGAAGGUUUUCGGAUUGUAAACUCCUUUUAUCAGGGACGAUAAUGACGGUACCUGAAGAAAAAGCUCCGGCUAACUACGUGCCAGCAGCCGCGGUAAUACGUAGGGAGCGAGCGUUGUCCGGAAUUACUGGGUGUAAAGGGAGCGUAGGCGGGACGGCAAGUCAGAUGUGAAAACUGAGGGCUCAACCUUCAGACUGCAUUUGAAACUGCUGUUCUUGAGUGAAGUAGAGGUAAGCGGAAUUCCUAGUGUAGCGGUGAAAUGCGUAGAUAUUAAGAGGAACAUCGGUGGCGAAGGCGGCUUACUGGGCUUUUACUGACGCUGAGGCUCGAAAGCGUGGGGAGCAAACAGGAUUAGAUACCCUGGUAGUCCACGCUGUAAACGAUGA
Molecule: ribosomal RNA, 572 nt
Filed under: uncultured bacterium
Lineage: Bacteria
Description: bacterial SSU rRNA
Rfam family: Bacterial small subunit ribosomal RNA
Source: RNAcentral